This 460-nucleotide unclassified non-coding RNA is filed under the name uncultured Glomus. Its description in RNAcentral is "SSU rRNA". It matches the Rfam family "Eukaryotic small subunit ribosomal RNA", at positions 569 to 1037 of the family's 1831-position model. Lineage: Eukaryota; Fungi; Glomeromycota; Glomeromycetes; Glomerales; Glomeraceae. The record is from RNAcentral.
AGCAGCCGCGGUAAUUCCAGCUCCAAUAGCGUAUAUUAAAGUUGUUGCAGUUAAAAGCUCGUAGUUGAAUUUCGAGACCGGUCUACUGGUCGUGCUUUUGUACGUACUGGUAUAAUCGGUUUCUCUCUUCUGACGAACUAUAAUGCCAUUAAUUUGGUGUUUUAGGGAAUCAGGACUGUUACUUUGAAAAAUUAGAGUGUUUAAAGCAGGCUCACGCUUGAAUACAUUAGCAUGGAAUAACGAAAUAGGACGUUUGAUUCUAUUUUGUUGGUUUCUAGGAUCGACGUAAUGAUUAAUAGGGAUAGUUGGGGGCAUUAGUAUUCAAUUGUCAGAGGUGAAAUUCUUGGAUUUAUUGAAGACUAACUACUGCGAAAGCAUUUGCCAAGGAUGUUUUCAUUAAUCAAGAACGAAAGUUAGGGAUCGAAGACGAUCAGAUACCGUCGUAGUCUUAACCAUAAAC